GAUUAAGGCAUUGCACAAACGAAGUGGCAGACUGCACUGCGGACAGGAAGAGAGCUCUCGAAACCUCCUUCCCCGAAGCGAAGGCCUCUGGUCAAGACGGACUUUAUCUCGACGAGAAUUGUCUAAGCGCAGUCGAACCUUGAGAGAUAAGACGGUGGUAGUCGCGAUAUCGGGGCACGGCGGCCCAGUUUAGAAACACUCGUCGACUGUGCUACAUCGCUUCUGUGCUUUAGCACAACCCCAUUUGGAUAUCGCACCAUGAGACUGACGGGCGGGCAUGAAUGCAAGAGAGAGAGAGUGCUCACCCGAAGCCAUUGGUGGUUCGUGGCGGGUUGUCAUCGUCCCAGCAGGGCUCCACCACAAUACGCACGGGGCUCUGGACCAGGUGGGGACCGUUGGUGGCCGCUAGUUCCUCCAGGCGAUCAAAGUCCGUGCGAUCAACCCCAUUCAUUGCGACGGGGGUCUCGGGUGGACCUGCGAGGCACAAGCACCGGGGUCAGACGCCACGCCUCCGCCCAGCCAGCUCCGGCGCAUAGCAACAUGCCAAAGGCCCACCGAAUUUAUCUAUGCAAUUCAAUUCGUAAUGCCGUUGCUCUCGGCCAGGGGGCACUGUGGCGUUCGCAAGACAGAAGCUCCUCAAUAAAUUUCACACUUCGCGUUUCUUGAACGCGAGAGACAUGUGCCACGAGCGAGUGCUGAGUCGCUCGUUUCAGUGCCGAGCUUCCAUUUGCAUCCAAGGCUGCAAGAGGUACUGGCCUUGUGUAUUGGCACAUUCGACGCUACUUGCAAGACAAGCACAAACACAUCAAAGGACUUUCCAAGGAAUGGGACCCUGUAGUGGUAGCAUAAAGCAGCACUGUGGCCUCUGGUCAUGAAGGAACGAACCACAAGUGUCUUUGUGUGCUAAUAAAGGGAAUGGAAGAUUUAAAAAAAGUUUUUUAAUUAACUGAAGAGACAUGCAGCAAGUAUCUUCAGCGUCAUAUUGAAGCACUAGUGCAAUCUUUUCAGCUUUUGUGUUUUUGCUAUUUUCUGCGAGCAACGCGAGCGAGCACGACAAGGUGAAAUCCGAAUGAGACUAAAAGAUAUCCGGUUUUGCUAGUCAGGGGCACUGCUCAAAACAUGAGCUAAAGGCCCAUAUGCAGGAAAUCGCUUAAUCUUAGAUUAUGACUAAAAUCACAACAAAAGAGUAACGCAGUUUAAAAUUAUUCCAGGUGUGAACAACUGCAAGCUACUCCUGAACCAUUUUCACCGGCUUCAGAAUCUGUGCACUUCGUGCUCAUACAAGAGAAGAGGAUUAUUGAAUUCUCUAUCUCCACCAAGCGGGACCAAGAAAAAAGAGAACCUUUUGUGCCUUCAAGUUCAAAUUCAAUACUCUCAAGGAAGUCCGGACACUGAUGCCACUGAUCCAUCUCCA
Long non-coding RNA from Ixodes scapularis (black-legged tick), 1414 nucleotides. RefSeq lists it as uncharacterized. The record is from RefSeq and is a predicted model, not a curated record. Lineage: Eukaryota; Metazoa; Arthropoda; Arachnida; Ixodida; Ixodidae. The transcript has 3 exons.